Molecule: unclassified non-coding RNA, 272 nt
Filed under: uncultured Bionectriaceae
Lineage: Eukaryota; Fungi; Ascomycota; Sordariomycetes; Hypocreales
Description: sequence contains ITS2
Source: RNAcentral
AACGCACAUUGCGCCCGCCAGCACUCUGGCGGGCAUGCCUGUUCGAGCGUCAUUUCAACCCCUCAAGCCCCAGCGGCUUGGUGUUGGGGAUCGACCCGCCGCCUGACCCCCCCCGGGGGGAUGGCAGGGUCGGCCCUGAAAUACAGUGGCGGUCCCGUCGCGGCCCCCUCUGCGUAGUAGCACACCUCGCAGUGGAGAGCGGCGCGGCCACGCCCAACCCCAUACUUCUCAAGGUUGACCUCGAAUCAGGUAGGAAUACCCGCUGAACUUAA